GGGGAGGUAGCUCAGUGAUAGAGUGUUUGCCUUAUAUGCAUGAAACCCUAGGUUCGAUUCCUCAGCACCA
This is a non-coding RNA of Dipodomys ordii (Ord's kangaroo rat), 70 nucleotides long. The record is from Rfam. NCBI's taxonomy places the organism in Eukaryota, Metazoa, Chordata, Mammalia, Rodentia, Heteromyidae.